This 71-nucleotide transfer RNA is filed under the name Neopestalotiopsis cubana. RNAcentral's name for it is "tRNA-Arg". It matches the Rfam family "tRNA". Rfam says of the family: Transfer RNA (tRNA) molecules are approximately 80 nucleotides in length. Their secondary structure includes four short double-helical elements and three loops (D, anti-codon, and T loops). Lineage: Eukaryota; Fungi; Ascomycota; Sordariomycetes; Amphisphaeriales; Sporocadaceae. The record is from RNAcentral. RNAcentral also lists the same sequence under 1 other name.
UUUUCAUUAGCUCAAUGGUAGAGUAGGAUACUUCUAAUAUCCUGAUUUUAGUUCGAAUCUAGAAUGAAAAU